ACCGUCGGCUGUCAGC
RNAcentral lists this small RNA (16 nucleotides) under Arabidopsis thaliana (thale cress). Its description in RNAcentral is "ATSL302060". The record is from RNAcentral. Lineage: Eukaryota; Viridiplantae; Streptophyta; Magnoliopsida; Brassicales; Brassicaceae.